Molecule: small nucleolar RNA, 138 nt
Organism: Tachyglossus aculeatus (Australian echidna)
Lineage: Eukaryota; Metazoa; Chordata; Mammalia; Monotremata; Tachyglossidae
Source: RefSeq, a predicted model, not a curated record
AACCUCUCAGGGUCACACCUGGAGAGUUUCCAGUCCUCUACCAGUCUCGGCUACGGGAGGGAGAGUCAAGCAGAGGCAUAUCCACUCUAAUCCUAGCUUGAGCAGUGGCUAGUGAGUGGAAGGCAAUCUGCUACAAGU